Molecule: long non-coding RNA, 642 nt
Filed under: Brassica napus (rape)
Lineage: Eukaryota; Viridiplantae; Streptophyta; Magnoliopsida; Brassicales; Brassicaceae
Description: long non-coding RNA (BNAP_LNC009154)
Source: RNAcentral
ACAAAAAGAAGUUGUAAUGUUUCUCAAAUAAUAUAUAGGGGAUACAAUUGCAAUAUAAAAGAUGACUGGAAAAUAUACAUGAUGGAGAAAGUUUAAAACACUUAACCAAUAUUAAUAGGAGAAACCGAACAGAGAUGAUUGAUACAAUUGCAAUAUAAAAGAUGACUGGAAAAUAUACAUGAUGGAGAAAGUUUAAAACACUUAACCAAUAUUAAUAGGAGAAACCGAACAGAGAUGAUUUAGAUAAAGCAUUCGAGAUAGGUUGUCUACAGGACAUCGUACGAGUUGCUGGGGCCAACCGCAGUGCUGCAUUUUCUGUGGCGAAACUGAUGAGACUAGGGAUCACCUUUUCUUUGCUUGCCCAUACACUUUUAUGGUCUGGCUGAAGUUGGCAGGAACCUGACCCGGAUUGGGAGACGACGCUGUCAAGGCUUCUUACGGGUUCGUAUGAUCGCCUGACUUUCAUUCUUUUGAGACUGGCCCUGCAAGCCACCAUAUAUUUUAUCUGGCGCGAGCGUAAUGAGAGGAAGCACAACUCCAGUAACAAGUCGGUGGAUCAGCUAGCAAGGCUAAUUGACAAGGCUGUAAGGAAUCGCAUCUCCUCCACAAAUGAUGUGAUCAAUCCCAAGCUACAUGGUCUGA